AACUAAGUUUGUUAUUGGUAUGAGCUUUUGUGUGCAUACACACUUCUUCAAAUAUACCCUCUCACUAUAUAUAAGGGCCUGGUGACUUUUGUUUCAGUGUAUCUGAAGAUGUGUAUAUGAACACGAAAGCUCACACCAAUCAAUGUGCUCAGCCA
Non-coding RNA from Podarcis lilfordi (Lilford's wall lizard), 155 nucleotides. The record is from the annotation of a GenBank genome assembly. Lineage: Eukaryota; Metazoa; Chordata; Lepidosauria; Squamata; Lacertidae.